Long non-coding RNA from Zeugodacus cucurbitae (melon fly), 1039 nucleotides. RefSeq lists it as uncharacterized. Lineage: Eukaryota; Metazoa; Arthropoda; Insecta; Diptera; Tephritidae. The record is from RefSeq and is a predicted model, not a curated record. The transcript has 2 exons.
CGCAUUGGGAUUAUGUUCCGCUUGAUGGCGCAGCAAUGCGGUCAAUGCAGGCAUAUUGAAUUCCAAUAAUGUACUAAAGGAGCUCGAUUGAUUGCGAUCGCUGUGUGGAGGUUAUAUAAAGAUAAGAAAUUGAAUGUUCUGUAAUAUUUUCUUCAUUCUGAUCAUUUCCUAACGAUCGCGGUUGAUGAAAAACUGUAUGCUCUAACUCACAUACUCACAUUUGCACUAAUUUCGAAUUCGGUAUUAAAUUUUCCAAGUUUUGCAUAUUCUUGAUGCGAAAGCCGAGUUUCGCCGGAUUUGGAUUAUUGGCUAGAAGACCUACAAUUCCAGCUGGAAAGGAUAACAUCAUAUCGCCAGAGAUUUUAACCUGACAACGUGAUUCAUCGCUACCACUGUCGAAACGUGAAAAGAUUAAUAUUACGAGCGUGUCUGUAUAUAUAUACGAACCGAAAGUAUGCGUGUAUAAUUUCAUGGAAUGCCACCGCUAGUGGAAUAGUGUCUGAAAUGCCAAUGGUGAGCGGCGAUGGACCUCGCGAUGACCCUAUACCACCGAUAGCUGUGCGGAAUUCCAAACUGCCAAUACUGUCUGCGCGAUUCAUUGCUGGAGAUGGACUAAUGCGCCCACGGGCCGCUGCUACUGAAGGUGCCAUUACCAUUUCGGAACGGCGCGAAGGUGGUCUUGGUAUUGCAAUACUGUUAGCGGAUGUUGGUGUGGGUAUUUGACGGCUAUUUGAUUUCGAAAGAGUUGCGGAUGCCGGUGCAGAGGCGCUUACAUCGCCCAGCUCAGAAAAUAUGUCACCCAAGUCGGCAUAUCUGCGAAUGAAUAUAUUUAUUCAUAAAUAGGAGAACUGCUUGGAAUAUUUCAAUAUAUGGCAAUUACCUCGAAUUGUUCGUCAUGGAGAGUGUAGGACUUUGCAGUGGAGCAUAUGGAUGCACUGUUGCCGUUGGUGUGGACGCAUUGGAUAUCUCAGGCGAUUGCUGACGCGAAGCAAUGCGCGAUUGCUGCAACUGCUGAUUGCUGUGCUGUUGGUUGAAAGUC